RNAcentral lists this ribosomal RNA (289 nucleotides) under uncultured bacterium. Its description in RNAcentral is "partial 16S ribosomal RNA". It matches the Rfam family "Bacterial small subunit ribosomal RNA", at positions 29 to 309 of the family's 1533-position model. The record is from RNAcentral.
AGCGAACGCUGGCGGUAUGCUUAACACAUGCAAGUCGAGCGCGAAAGUGACUUCGGUCAUAAGUAGAGCGGCGGACGGGUGAGUAACACGUGGAUAAUCUGCCUUUAGGACUGGGAUAACCCUGGGAACUAGGGCUAAUACCGGAUAAGACCACAGGUUCCAUGGAACCAGGGGUAAAGGCGGCCUUCGGGCUGUCGCCGAAAGAUGAGUCCGCGUCCCAUCAGGUAGUUGGUGAGGUAACGGCUCACCAAGCCGAAGACGGGUAGCCGACCUUAGCGGGUGAUCGGCC